AUGGCGUCCGGUCAGGAGAAGGGGAGGUCGGAGCUGGACAGCUUGGCCCGCGAGGGGCAGACCGUCGUCCCCGGCGGCACCGGCGGGAAGAGCUACGAGGCGCAGGAGAAACUCGCUGAAGGUACUAUGUCAAUACUAUAUACUGAACCGGCAUUGUUGUAACACGCGCGCAUUUGUGCAGGGCGCAGCCGUGGUGGGCAGACUCGGAAGGAGCAGAUGGGGGAGGAGGGGUACAGCGAGAUGGGGCGCAAGGGCGGGCUGAGCACCAACGACGAGUCCGGCGGCGAGCGCGCCGCCAGGGAGGGCAUCGACAUCGACGAGUCCAAGUUCAAGACCAAGUCCUAG
This 345-nucleotide ribosomal RNA is filed under the name Triticum aestivum (bread wheat). RNAcentral's name for it is "partial small subunit ribosomal RNA". Lineage: Eukaryota; Viridiplantae; Streptophyta; Magnoliopsida; Poales; Poaceae. The record is from RNAcentral.